This 495-nucleotide ribosomal RNA is filed under the name uncultured bacterium. Its description in RNAcentral is "partial 16S ribosomal RNA". It matches the Rfam family "Bacterial small subunit ribosomal RNA", at positions 28 to 507 of the family's 1533-position model. The record is from RNAcentral.
GACGAACGCUGGCGGCGUGCCUAAUACAUGCAAGUAGAACGCUGAAGGAGGAGCUUGCUUCUCUGGAUGAGUUGCGAACGGGUGAGUAACGCGUAGGUAACCUGCCUGUUAGCGGGGGAUAACUAUUGGAAACGAUAGCUAAUACCGCAUAAUAUUAGUUGUUGCAUGACAUUUGCUUAAAAGAUGCAAUUGCAUCACUACCAGAUGGACCUGCGUUGUAUUAGCUAGUUGGUGGGGUAACGGCUCACCAAGGCGACGACACAUAGUCGACCUGAGAGGGGUGUCGGCCACCCUGGGACUGAGACCCGGCCCAGACUCCUGCGGGGAGCCGCAGUAGGGGAUUUUUGGCAAUUGACGGAAGUCUGAACGGGCAACGCCGCGUGAGUGGAGGAGGUUUUCGGAUCGUAAAGCUCUGUUGUAAGGGGAGAACGAAUGUGGGAGUGGAAAGUUCACGCUGUGACGGUAUCUAACCAGAAAGGGACGGCUAACUACGUG